Castor canadensis (American beaver) is the source of this 4194-nucleotide non-coding RNA. The record is from RefSeq and is a predicted model, not a curated record. NCBI's taxonomy places the organism in Eukaryota, Metazoa, Chordata, Mammalia, Rodentia, Castoridae.
UAUUGAUUGAAAUUCUAUGAUUAUUUUAAACAUUAACUUUUAUAGGAGAAGGGGAUGUAGCUUAGUGGUAGAGUAUUUGCCAUACAUGUAUCCAAAAUGAAAAAUUAAAGUUCCAUGGCCCUCUUUGAAAUAAAAAAGAGUCAAUUUAAAUAGAUUUCCAUUAUACAAGUAAUACACGAUUACAGACCUAAUGGAAAAAAGUGAAAUAACACUUAUAGUGAAAACCCUCCUAUUGCCCUAAUCCCCCACCAUUGAAGUAAUGACUACUCUUGCUACCUAUUCUUCCAGAUCUUUUCCCAUGCAUAUAUACAUAUUUACAUACAGCAAUAAUUUUGUGUGAUUUUCAUUCUUUUUUCAUAUAAAUAGUAACAUCCUGCAACUUGAUUCUUUCUCUUUACUGUAUAUCAUAUUUCUUUCCUUCCUUAUACAUAGAAGUUUCCCUAUUAAUUUAAACACCUGCAUAAUAUUCCAUACUAUGGACACAUCAUGGUUGAUUUCAUAAUUCCUUAUUCCUUUUAGAGCUGUCAGGUUCUUUUGUUGCACUCAUAGCUACAGUGAACAACCCCGUACACACUUCUUUAUGAGCAUGGACAAGUAUUGCUGUACAAUAGGGAUCUAGGCAUGGGAUGGUUAAGGUGAAGACUAGUGUAGAUAGGGAAUUUUAAAUGCCCUUCAAAAAGUGGUGUCAACUUACACUCCAGGCAACAGAAUAUGACGGCACUCAUUUCCCCAUACCUUUCAUCACUCGAUACUCUCCAUCUUUUUGAUGAAUUUUGAUCCAGAGAUAACCUUUCAUCUUCCAGAUUCUCAGUGAAAAUCACCUGACUGAAUUACAUAAGGAUUUAUUUGAGGGCCUGCUGUCCCUUGAGUAUUUGUAAGUUAGUCAGUUGAACAUAUUUAUUUGUGAGUAACUACCUAUGAAAUGUAUAAAGGGUUCGAAUUAGAUAAUUUCUAAAACCUCUGCCAGCAAUAAAAUUGUGCACUUGUGGGUCUCAUUCCAUCUUUGGCAUUAAAUGCUUUCUCUACAUUUUCAGAUUUUUAAAAAUGGUAUAGACAAAAUACAGAUGUAGGAUGGAGGUGUGGCUCAAGCAGUAGAGCACAUAUUUUGCAAGCAUAAAAACCUGAGUUGAAACCCCAGUACCAACAACAACAACAAAAAGAUACAGUUGUAAAAAAACUAAUUAUGACACUUCUAUGAACCUUGGUUUAUAAGUGUUCUUAUUAGUCUAUGGCCCAUGGAUUGAAUUCAGUCCACAGUCUGGCCUCAAACCUCAGAUUCCAAGAAGUCAGGAUUACAGGUGUAUAGCACCACACCUGGCUGCCCUAACUCUUCACUAAUUACAAAAUAAAAAUCUCAACAGCUUUUGUUGACAAGGAGAGAAUACUUGCACAGUAUUUCUGUCCAUUCAGAGAUAACAAAGUACUAUGUUCUUUGUCUUGAAAGCUUGGUUUUUAUCCUUCUCCCAUGAGGUGCAGUUGUGUGUACUUCAUUGAGCUCAUUAAUGCUUAUAUUAAUUGGCUUACUAAUCUAAUGAGCUUUUUUCAAAUAAUCCUCCUUUCAAAAAAAGACUUUUGGAAGCAGGUAUAAAGAGCCUCACAUGGCACAAAUAUAGUCCUUUGAAUUAUCAACCCUUAUAGGCUCUAAGGCACCAACCACUUCUGUAUUGGUCUGUUGGGGCUCCCCUGCCAUCUGGGCUCCCAAAUCCUACUAACACAGUUUGGAGAAAACCAAAUGAGAUUAUUGCUUGAUGGAGUUGACCUUUGUUCUGCUUUGAAGUACUUUGUAAGCUAAUUAUAUCACAUUAGCAUAUGUAUUCUGCUUCAUCUUUUUCAAUUUGUGCCAAUAGAAAAGAGCUAAAAUAGAAUAUGCCAUGGACUGUGGUGCCUGGUAUCGAAGGCAUAAAGAUGAGUAAGACAGGAUUUCUCCCCUCUAAGAACUCAUGGGCUCCCAGAGAAGCAAGUGUAUAACCUCAAACCAUAAUUCAGCAGAGGUGCUGAAGAGGUCAGUCAGAAAAAAAUAAACUGCAUUCCUUCUAAGUAGUCAUUUUUCUUCUACUCACUUCCCAGCUAGUCAUUGACUUUAUAAAUAUUUGUGUUUGCUUAAAUAUUUGUGUUAGUCUCAAACAUGCUGGGCAAUGCAGAGGAGCAAGACCUAGUUCAUGCUUUCAAGGAGUUUAUGUUUGGAAGGAAAUGGAUAUACAAAUAACUAUUAAGAAGUAAUGGAGAGCUGGGAGUGCGGCUUAAGCAGUAGCCCACUUACCUUGUAAGCAGGAAUCCCUGAGUUUAAACCCAGGUUUGGCAAAAAAAAAAAAAAGCAAUUCUAAAUUCUAUGUAUUCAUAUUAAUUUGAUAUCAAAUAGCUAAUCAGUGCAAUAUUUCACUUUUCCUAGAGAUUUAUCCAGCAAUAAAAUACAGUAUAUUGAAAGAAGGACAUUUGAAACACUACCUUUUUUGAAGUUUAUAAAUCUUCAUGACAAUUUGCUCCUAGAACUGAAGUUGGGAACAUUUUAGGCAUGGCAUAGAAUGCAACUUUUAUACCAGUUGUUGACAUCAAAAACCUGGACACCGUUCUCGGCAGCAUGGGACUCAAGUUGCCCAUAAGGAACUUGAAGAUCUGACACAAAACCUACCAGUCAGUGCUGGUAAUAAAGUGGCUCUGAGAACUUUGGAAGAGGAAGUGAAAGCUUUUACUGGGAGACAAGAUUGAUUCUAAUGACCUACAAAAUAUUCUAAAAAACAUGGGGCUUAGCUUUCAGACAAAGAAUAUAGACAGCUGCUGAAAACAUUGCCCACUGAUGGCUAUGAGAAAGUUCAUGUGGAAAAGCUGAUAGAUAAAAGUAGAAGCUAUUACUGGCACAAAGUUGAUACAAAUAAGCUUAAAAGUAUUUUGGACAAUUUGGGAAUUGAGCUCACUGCUAGUGAAUACUUGAACUUGCAAAGACAUUGAGAGUUAAUGAUGAUGGAAAAGUGUGUCAGAAAAGGUUGAUGAAGGGCAUAGAUUCUCUAAAAUGUGAGUAAGAGGCAAAAUGAAAAUGGUUUUUUAAGACCUUUAUUUGUACUGUGAAAAUAAGAAUCCUCCUGUCUUUUAUUACUGAGUCUUUAUUGAUGCUAAAGUAGAUCUGUACUCUGCCUAAUCAUUUCCUGUACUGUGAUUGGCAGCAAGUGUUAGGCUUCCUUACUCAAUCCUAAAGGAAAAAAAAAUUAACUAGAAAGCAAGAGAUGAAGAGUGAAGACUUUUACAUAAGGAUUUCAACCAAAAGCAGAGAUAAAUUAUUUACGAGUACAGGCUACAAAAAUAACCCGUUUUGCAGAAUGUCAUUCAACUCAACCUUCUUUAAGAAUAUUUCAUUUGGUAGACUUGUUCCCAAUAUAAGAUUUAAGGAAAUUGAUUCUAAUUUUUAUUCUUUUGUUUAUUGAGAUGACUGGAGUUUUGGUAUUUGUCUUUAAAUCUUAACAAUAAUGCUAAGAAGUGAAUGAUUUUUAAUUAUAAAAAAUACAUGCUCAUCAUUAAAGAAGAGAAAUAAUAUAGCACCAUAAAUACAUAGUCCAAUUUUAGAAUAGUUCCAUUUUACUAUACUUCUUUUUCCUGUCCCUUACUUGGAAGGUGAUGUGAUGUGGAUAAGCUAGAUACACUUUUAGAAAACAUGGGAAUCAAGAUCACAGAAAAAGAAUUCAUGGAUCUAACAGAAAAACUAAUGGCCAGAUAAUGAUGAGCACUGUGACCACUCCUGUAGUUUUUAAGGGGUACUUACUCUAUUAGACUUGAAAAUAGGAAUUUCUGCAACCAAAGGGUCAAAAUACAAAAUAUUUUCCAAAGAAGAGCUUAGUCUUAGUGUAAGAGAAGAAACUUUGUCCUUUUUUUUUCCACCAUUAACCUAAAAUCCAAUUUCUUUCCCUAUGGAUACUAAGCACUGCAUAAAAUAAAGGCAAGACUUUGUGAAACCAGACAAUAAUCAGAAAGUAGAAUUCAAAGCAGAAGGGAAAGUUUACAAGAAGGGGGAGUUGUAUCUAUGUCUUCCAAAGCAUCUGGUUCCCACAUCCACUACCACUCCAUUAAAAGAUACUCAGACAAAUCCAAUGUACACCAUUCCUCUUUUUCUUACUUGAGCCUUCUGACCCCUUCAAUAAUAUUUUCCUUUCAUCACUACUCUGUAUUCUCAAGUAUAUAAAUUCAUACUCUCCAGAAUUAUCUUCU